RNAcentral lists this ribosomal RNA (279 nucleotides) under uncultured soil bacterium. Its description in RNAcentral is "partial 16S ribosomal RNA". It matches the Rfam family "Bacterial small subunit ribosomal RNA", at positions 26 to 310 of the family's 1533-position model. The record is from RNAcentral.
AGAUUGAACGCUGGCGGCAUGCCUUACACAUGCAAGUCGAACGGCAGCACGGGAGCAAUCCUGGUGGCGAGUGGCGAACGGGUGAGUAAUAUAUCGGAACGUGCCCAGUCGUGGGGGAUAACGUAGAGAAAUUUACGCUAAUACCGCAUACGAUCCAAGGAUGAAAGCGGGGGACCUAAGGCCUCGCGCGACUGGAGCGGCUGAUAUCAGAUUAGCGUUGUGGUGAGGUAAAAGCUACACCGAAGCGACGAUCUGUAUCGUGUUGAGAAGAACCGACCA